UACGUAGGGGGCUAGCGUUAUCCGGAAUCAUUGGGCGUAAAGAGCGUGUAGGCGGCCCGGUAAGUCCGCUGUGAAAGUCGGGGGCUCAACCCUCGAAUGCCGGUGGAUACUGUCGGGCUAGAGUGCGGAAGAGGCGAGUGGAAUUCCUGGUGUAGCGGUGAAAUGCGCAGAUAUCAGGAGGAACACCGAUUGCGAAGGCAGCUCGCUGGGACGUAACUGACGCUGAGACGCGAAAGCGUGGGGAGCAAACAGG
RNAcentral lists this ribosomal RNA (253 nucleotides) under uncultured bacterium. RNAcentral describes it as "partial 16S ribosomal RNA". It matches the Rfam family "Bacterial small subunit ribosomal RNA", at positions 524 to 776 of the family's 1533-position model. The record is from RNAcentral.